UACGUAGGGGGCAAGCGUCGUCCGGAAUCAUUGGGCGUAAAGAGCGUGUAGGCGGCCCGGUAAGUCCGCUGUGAAAGUCGGGGGCUCAACCCUCGAAUGCCGGUGGAUACUGUCGGGCUAGAGUGCGGAAGAGGCGAGUGGAAUUCCUGGUGUAGCGGUGAAAUGCGCAGAUAUCAGGAGGAACACCGAUUGCGAAGGCAGCUCGCUGGGACGUAACUGACGCUGAGACGCGAAAGCGUGGGGAGCAAACAGG
RNAcentral lists this ribosomal RNA (253 nucleotides) under uncultured bacterium. RNAcentral's name for it is "partial 16S ribosomal RNA". It matches the Rfam family "Bacterial small subunit ribosomal RNA", at positions 524 to 776 of the family's 1533-position model. The record is from RNAcentral.